UGUGGGGAAAUAUGAACUGAAGCUGUGAGAUCGACUAAAAUGACUGAUAUGAUGGACUCCAUGGAUACCAGUGGACUAGAGAUCCAUAUCAUGGAUCAUUCAGACACGUGUGGCCACCAGUUCCUCAACAUGAUGAAUCCAACGUGGGCUGCUGGGAUGGAGGAUGAUGGGGGCUACUCAUGGAGGUGAGAGGACGGUGCUGGCAUCGCUUCAGUUCCACGGGUUUGACCGGAAGAGAGAGGUAGAUAAGGUCCUUGAUCAAGUGGAGGCACUUAUGGCAGAGGAAUCAGGCUACUCUGAGAAAUUAAUACACUCCAAACAAAGUGAAUGUCAGAGGCUUCCUCAGAAACCCUUUGUCUUCAGAGGAGGACAUGGAGCUAAGGACUGCUGCUCGGGGUCUGAUUAGGAUGCUUCUGAGACCACAGGGAGGAAGAGAAUCCACGCACCGCCGUGCUGCAAACAACAGAAAGAUAAAGAAAAUUCACGAGUGAUUCAGAGCGACCAAGUGGAAGGCAAGCAGUGAGCGACCAUCAGCAGCUCCAGGGCAGAUGUCAACCUGCACCCAUCUUUGCUCCCUUGCUGCACAGGA
Molecule: long non-coding RNA, 589 nt
Organism: Solea senegalensis (Senegalese sole)
Lineage: Eukaryota; Metazoa; Chordata; Actinopteri; Pleuronectiformes; Soleidae
Exons: 6
Source: RefSeq, a predicted model, not a curated record